AAUGCCCCACACCUGACACUUCAAUUCAAAAUAAGUUGAUGUGUUUUUCGUUGAGGCUAUAUUAACAUCCUCAUAUCAUAAUUGCAUCAGCCUAUUGCUAUAUGCUUGCAUGUUAUGCUGGUAACAUUGUU
Molecule: small nucleolar RNA, 131 nt
Filed under: Bombyx mori (domestic silkworm)
Lineage: Eukaryota; Metazoa; Arthropoda; Insecta; Lepidoptera; Bombycidae
Description: Bm_98
Source: RNAcentral